GACGAACGCUGGCGGCGUGCCUAAUACAUGCAAGUAGAACGCUGAAGGAGGAGCUUGCUUCUCUGGAUGAGUUGCGAACGGGUGAGUAACGCGUAGGUAACCUGCCUGGUAGCGGGGGAUAACUAUUGGAAACGAUAGCUAAUGCCGCAUAAUAUUGACUAUUGCAUGAUAGUCAGUUGAAAGGUGCAACUGCACCACUACCAGAUGGACCUGCGUUGUAUUAGCUAGUUGGUGGGGUAACGGCUCACCAAGGCGACGAUACAUAGCCGACCUGAGAGGGUGAUCGGCCACACUGGGACUGAGACACGGCCCAGACUCCUACGGGAGGCAGCAGUAGGGAAUCUUCGGCAAUGGACGGAAGUCUGACCGAGCAACGCCGCGUGAGUGAAGAAGGUUUUCGGAUCGUAAAGCUCUGUUGUAAGAGAAGAACGAGUGUGAGAGUGGAAAGCUCACACUGUGACGGUAUCUUACCAGAAAGGGACGGCUAACUACGUG
RNAcentral lists this ribosomal RNA (495 nucleotides) under uncultured bacterium. RNAcentral's name for it is "partial 16S ribosomal RNA". It matches the Rfam family "Bacterial small subunit ribosomal RNA", at positions 28 to 507 of the family's 1533-position model. The record is from RNAcentral.